Molecule: ribosomal RNA, 1343 nt
Filed under: Volucella latifasciata
Lineage: Eukaryota; Metazoa; Arthropoda; Insecta; Diptera; Syrphidae
Description: 16S ribosomal RNA
Source: RNAcentral
UUAUUAUUUAUUUAUUAAAUUAAUUUUAUUUUUAAAUUUAAAUUAUUAAAAAUAAUUAUAUAAUAUAAUGUUUUAGUAUAUUUUAUAAAAUAAAUAAAAUUUAAUAAUAGUUUAUUAGUAUUGUUAAAUAAAAUUGAAAUAUAAUGAAAAAUUUUUAUUUUAAAAGAAAAUUUAAUUUAUUGUAUCUUGUGUAUCAGAGUAUAUUAAAUAAAAAAUAAUUAAUAUUAUUUUUCUCGAUUUUAAAAGAUUUAAUAAAUUAAUAAAUAUAAUGUAAUAAAAUUAUUUUUAAUAAUUUAUUAGAAAUGAAAUGUUAUUCGUUUUUAAAGGUAUCUAGUUUUUUAAGAAAUAAAUUUAAUUUAAAAUUUUAAAAUUUAUUUAUUUAAUUUAUUAUUAAUUAAAUAAUUUUUAAAAUUUAAUAUUUUAUGGGAUAAGCUGUAAAAUAAAUUUUUAUAAAUAAUAAAUAUUUAUUUAAUAUAUUAUAUGGUUAGAAUUAUCAAUUUAUAUAAAGUUUGUUAUAAAUUAUUUUUUAUAUUAUAUUAUUUAUUAUAUUUUAAAUUUUUAUUAAAAUAUUUAUUUAAAUAUAAAAAAUAAAUUAAUAAUGAUAUAAUUAGUAUAUUUUUUUGUAUAAUUAAAUUUAUAAAUGUUAAGUUUUAAUAAAGAAUUCGGCAAAAAUAAUAUUCGCCUGUUUAACAAAAACAUGUCUUUUAGAAAUUAAUUUAAAGUCUAGCCUGCCCACUGAUUUUUUUUUUAAAUGGCCGCAGUAUAUUAACUGUGCAAAGGUAGCAUAAUCAUUAGUCUUUUAAUUGAAGGCUGGAAUGAAUGGUUGGACGAAAUAUUAACUGUUUCAUUUAAAUUUAUAAUAAAAUUUUAUUUUUUAGUUAAAAAGCUAAAAUUUAUUUAAAAGACGAGAAGACCCUAUAAAUCUUUAUAUAAAUAUUAUUUUAUAUUUUAUAAAUAAAUUUUAUUAAAAUAAUAAUUUUAUAUUUUAUUGGGGUGAUAUUAAAAUUUAAAUAACUUUUAUUAAUAAAAAUCAUUAAUAUAUGAAUAGUUGAUCCAUUUUUAAUGAUUAUAAAAUUAAGUUACUUUAGGGAUAACAGCGUAAUUUUUUUGGAGAGUUCAUAUUGAUAAAAAAGAUUGCGACCUCGAUGUUGGAUUAAGAUAUAAUUUUAGGUGCAGCCGUUUAAAAUUUAAGUCUGUUCGACUUUUUAAAUCUUACAUGAUCUGAGUUCAGACCGGCGUAAGCCAGGUUGGUUUCUAUCUUUAAUAAAUAAAUAUAUUUUAGUACGAAAGGAUUAAAUAUAUAAAUAAUUUUAUUUUUAGUUUAAGAAUAUAAUUAAUAUUUA